GAAGAUGAGUUGAUGGAAAAUAAAAAUAAAAUGUAUGUGAAAAAAGUUGUAAAUAUAUAUAUAUAUACAGGACACGACAAGACGAGGACAAAAGACGUCUGAACUGCUAUGCCAUCUCGGGAGUGUUUUUUCCGGCGUCCUGGAACGCACCCUGUCUGGUUGCCGGGCAAUGUAGCCAGUUGGGAGUUCUGAUGACCCGCACCUGUAUCCCAUCAGCUAUCUGCACACCUGGUCCUGAUCAUCAUCUCUCCUCUUCAUAAGCCCGGACCUGACAUCCAUUCCCUGCCGGAUCGUUAGCCAUGAACAUUACUCACCCGGAUCAUUUACCCCAUUCCCGCCUGGUCGUCGGAGGAUUCCGCUACCCCAGUGGAUCCACCUAUUUACUCCCAUCAACUCACCACCGCUGCCCGCUACGCCACCUGGAUAUAUCUACCCAUUCACUUGUAAAUAAAUACUCACCUUCUUACUCUCCUUGUCCUGGUCUGCUUCUGGGUUCGAUUUUGAAAGAACGUGACAGAAAGAUCCGGCCAAGGAUGAACCCAGCGGACCUGGACUCUGUUUGCCAUGCCAUUACCCAGCAGGGGAAGACAUUGGGACAACACAAGACGGCGCUACAGGAGAUAGCGGGUGCAAUCCAGAACUUAUCUGCUAGCUUGACACAAAUCCAGGAUCAGCUCAGUUUGCCGGCGAUUCAUUCACCACCUGUUUCACCCAUCUCACCUGCCAUGUCUGGUGCGGUUUCCUUCCGUGAACCCAAGGUACCGACGCCUGAUAAAUAUGAAGGGGAUUUGGGAAGAUGCCGUUCGUUUCUUAUGCAGUGUGGGUUAGUGUUUGAUCUGCAGCCCCAUUCUUACGCCACUGACAAGGCUAGGAUAGCCUUUGUUAUUGAACUGCUGUGUGGAAGAGCUCUAGAAUGGGCUUCCGCCGUUUGGGAACGACAGGAGAUCUGCAUGGCUUCAUACCAGGAGUUCACGGGAGAGAUGAGAAAGCUUUUUGACCAUCCAGUCCGAGGUAAGGACGCAGCUAAACGUUUGUUCACUCUUCGCCAAGGAGCUCGCAGUGUGGCAGAUUUUAUGAUCGAGUUCAGGACAUUGUCUGUGGAGAGUGGUUGGAAUGAGGAGUCACUACAAGCGGCUUUUUACCAGGGGUUGUCGGAGCAACUCAAGGACGAGCUGAUA
This is a long non-coding RNA of Oncorhynchus nerka (sockeye salmon), 1178 nucleotides long. RefSeq lists it as uncharacterized. The record is from RefSeq and is a predicted model, not a curated record. The transcript is spliced from 3 exons. NCBI's taxonomy places the organism in Eukaryota, Metazoa, Chordata, Actinopteri, Salmoniformes, Salmonidae.